UCACUAUGAUGAUUGAUUUCCAAACAUUCGCAGUUUCCACCAGAAAGGUUUUUCCUUGUGUUGGCCAGAUCUUCCUUGGAUGUCUGAGUGA
This is a small nucleolar RNA of Loxodonta africana (African savanna elephant), 91 nucleotides long. Its record names the gene SNORD14. It matches the Rfam family "Small nucleolar RNA SNORD14". Rfam says of the family: U14 small nucleolar RNA (U14 snoRNA) is required for early cleavages of eukaryotic precursor rRNAs. In yeasts, this molecule possess a stem-loop region (known as the Y-domain) which is essential for function. Lineage: Eukaryota; Metazoa; Chordata; Mammalia; Proboscidea; Elephantidae. The record is from Ensembl.